Molecule: ribosomal RNA, 478 nt
Filed under: uncultured bacterium
Lineage: Bacteria
Description: partial 16S ribosomal RNA
Rfam family: Bacterial small subunit ribosomal RNA
Source: RNAcentral
GACGAACGCUGGCGGCGUGCCUAACACAUGCCAGUCGAACGGAGACCAGCCUUUUAGACCUUCGGGUCAAAUAGGGGAAGGCUGAGUGGCGGACGGGUAAGCAACACUUGGGCUACCUGGCCCAUAGAGGGGGUUAACCUAGAGAAAGUUCUGCUAUUCCCGCAUAAGCUGACACUGCCGCAUGGCAGGGGGUGAAGAGAGAAUUGCUAUGAGAUGGACCUGCGUCUGAUUAAGUGGUUGGCAGGGUAAUAGCCUACCAAAGAGACGAUGAGUAGCCGAGCUGGGAAGAUGAACGACCACAUUGGGGGUGAGACACGGCCCGAACUCCGACGGAAGGCAGCAGUGGGGGAUAUUGCACGAUGAGGGGAACCCUAAUGCAGCGGCGCCGGGUAAGUGAGGAAGUAUUUCGGUAAGUGAAGCGCUAUCAGAAGGGAAGAUAAUGACGGUACCUGAAUAAGAAGCACCGGCUAACUACGUG